This 465-nucleotide ribosomal RNA is filed under the name uncultured bacterium. RNAcentral describes it as "partial 16S ribosomal RNA". It matches the Rfam family "Bacterial small subunit ribosomal RNA", at positions 338 to 795 of the family's 1533-position model. The record is from RNAcentral.
CCUACGGGAGGCAGCAGUAGGGAAUUUUCGGCAAUGGGCGAAAGCCUGACCGAGCAACGCCGCGUGAACGAAGAAGGUCUUCGGAUUGUAAAGUUCUGUUAUAGAGGAAGAAUGGUGUACGAAGGAAAUGGCGUACAAAUGACGGUACUCUGUGAGGAAGCCACGGCUAACUCCGUGCCAGCAGCCGCGGUAAUACGGAGGAUUCAAGCGUUAUCCGGAUUUAUUGGGUUUAAAGGGUGCGUAGGCGGUCGGAUAAGUUAGAGGUGAAAUCCAGAGGCUCAACUUCGGAAUUGCCUCUGAUACUGUUCGGCUAGAGAGUAGUUGCGGUAGGCGGAAUGUAUGGUGUAGCGGUGAAAUGCUUAGAGAUCAUACAGAACACCGAUUGCGAAGGCAGCUUACCAAGCUACUUCUGACGUUGAGGCACGAAAGCGUGGGGAGCAAACAGGAUUAGAUACCCGAGUAGUC